Regulatory RNA element from Bacilli bacterium VT-13-104, 73 nucleotides. The record is from Rfam. NCBI's taxonomy places the organism in Bacteria, Bacillati, Bacillota, Bacilli.
CCAGUGCUACAACCGCACAGAAUAGGUGAUAAAACUACUAGUUAGUACCUAAAUGGCGAGUCUGAGUAAUUGA